Molecule: long non-coding RNA, 17668 nt
Filed under: Nicotiana tabacum (common tobacco)
Lineage: Eukaryota; Viridiplantae; Streptophyta; Magnoliopsida; Solanales; Solanaceae
Description: long non-coding RNA (NTAB_LNC012626)
Source: RNAcentral
GCAACUAUACAUCCAAUAACCGAAUGCCGACAAGGCUACAUACAACCAAACUAGACAUACUGUCUACAGACCUCUAAUAGAAAUAUAACUGUACAAAGACGGGACUGAGCCAUGUCAUACCCAUAUAUAUAUAUAUAUAUAUAUACAAAUGUAUCGUACCAAAAUCAAAAGUAGCUCCGGAUCAAGUGGAGCACGCCAACUCUCGCUGAUCAGGGAUCCUAAGAAGGGGGACCGUCAGCUUGCCUACCUUCACCUGCGGUCAUGAAACGCAGGCCCCAUGAAAUAGGGCGUCAGUUCGAAAAAUGUACUGAGUAUGUAAGGCAUGAAAAUUAGUACGUAAAAGACAUAGAUGAAACAUGGAAUACAGAAACACAUCUUUAAAUCUGAAUAACUUUGUCAAUUCUGAAACGUUUAUAAUGUCAUGCACGUGCGUAUAAAUGUCGUGCCAUGUAUAGGUAUGGGUGUACAUAAUAUUAUCAAGCUACUGAGGGUAUCCCAUCAUAUCGUCUCGGCCACUGUGGGCAACAUCAUCAACAUAUACCAGUUGAUUAGGUGGUGGUGCGUAUAUAAUGUCGUAACCUUUUUUCAUAUCCCAUAUACAUAUAUUUACAUAUAUACGCGUAUAUAACUCCAUCUGGUCAUGGGUCAAUGCAAUUGUAUAAAUGAGUGAAAUGCAUGAAAAAUACGUAAUAAUCUCAAUAUUCCUUCCGGAUAAACUUUUCCAACUGCGUAUUAUUCUAAGACCCAUGAACAGAAGAUAAUAAUAAUUCUCAUAGGGGAAUCAAGAAUAUAGACACCCCUACUAUUUCUAUGAAUAGAGUAAUUUAUGAAAAUUGUGUGUUUGCUCGUUUCUUCAGUAUAAUUUGGACCAUGACAAAAGGAAGAAGGGAUGGCCUAAACAUACAUGAAGUAUGAAAAACUCCAUAAAAUAUUCCGUUGGAAACCUUAUGAACGAAUUUUUUUUUGCCUAGGAUUCAUUGAAAGUUGGAACGAAAUCAUUUCUGAAUAAAGCUUNNNNNNNNNNNNNNNNNNNNNNNNNNNNNNNNNNNNNNNNNNNNNNNNNNNNNNNNNNNNNNNNNNNNNNNNNNNNNNNNNNNNNNNNNNNNNNNNNNNNNNNNNNNNNNNNNNNNNNNNNNNNNNNNNNNNNNNNNNNNNNNNNNNNNNNNNNNNNNNNNNNNNNNNNNNNNNNNNNNNNNNNNNNNNNNNNNNNNNNNNNNNNNNNNNNNNNNNNNNNNNNNNNNNNNNNNNNNNNNNNNNNNNNNNNNNNNNNNNNNNNNNNNNNNNNNNNNNNNNNNNNNNNNNNNNNNNNNNNNNNNNNNNNNNNNNNNNNNNNNNNNNNNNNNNNNNNNNNNNNNNNNNNNNNNNNNNNNNNNNNNNNNNNNNNNNNNNNNNNNNNNNNNNNNNNNNNNNNNNNNNNNNNNNNNNNNNNNNNNNNNNNNNNNNNNNNNNNNNNNNNNNNNNNNNNNNNNNNNNNNNNNNNNNNNNNNNNNNNNNNNNNNNNNNNNNNNNNNNNNNNNNNNNNNNNNNNNNNNNNNNNNNNNNNNNNNNNNNNNNNNNNNNNNNNNNNNNNNNNNNNNNNNNNNNNNNNNNNNNNNNNNNNNNNNNNNNNNNNNNNNNNNNNNNNNNNNNNNNNNNNNNNNNNNNNNNNNNNNNNNNNNNNNNNNNNNNNNNNNNNNNNNNNNNNNNNNNNNNNNNNNNNNNNNNNNNNNNNNNNNNNNNNNNNNNNNNNNNNNNNNNNGGUCAUUUUCAACGAAACUCGUUUUCUUUAAUUCGUGUACCCUUUAUCCUUCAUGACACUUAUUUAUUGCUUGUUAUAAAUAAUAUAAAUGCGUUAACGUCAAGAUGAUCUCAUCCCCUAGUCUAUGUCAAUUAACCGAAGACGAAACUUUUAACGUACGAAAAUGCGAGAUGUAAUAGAGAGUUAGCCUCACAUACCUUAACUUCCUGCUCUUGAGCAUAAUACAACAUUUGUCAACCCUUUCAACUUUAAUCUAUAGCAAUACAAGUCAAAGGGAUUCCAUAUUAGCAAUGAUACUCAUAUUUUGGUCACUUAAGUAUUUUAUCAAACACUUGGUGAGAAUAAAGCUUCAUAGUCCUUAUUAAUGGUGUCUCUACACCCAAUAACCCAUUCUCUUGCCCCUAGAUAAAUUCUAAAAUCUCAAAUGGUUAUAAUCAACAUCAUUCUUCAUCACAUAUAAGGUAAACAACACCAUUAACCAGUAAUCAACAAUCAACUACCCAAACCUACAAUCGUUCAUGCUUUUCUAUCAAAUCCAUCAACUCAUAUCUCAUGAACUAGAGUCUAUAAUUAUUAAUUCUGUUUACCGUAAAAAUGGUAAUAACAAUUAAAUUUGUUGAUGAGACUCUAAAAAUACGUGAUCUAUUUUUAUUCUAGUUUGUUAAGCAGUUAAUGCUAUGUAUAUGAGACUUUGAAACGAAAUAAGAAUUAAGGAUAGGGCGAAAAUCAAACCGUUAGACCAAUAAUCAGGGCCUCGGGCUCGUCGAUUUUAGGCCUCGGGGUCGAUCCCGGGGCUUGAUUACGAGCUAGCAACGACAGUUGCUAUGUGACUAACGGUUAUAAUAAAAUCAAUGGAGGCUUUUUAUGGUCAAUGAGAAGCAAUAAAUGAAGAACAAGUAUGAAGACAAUAAAUGGAAGCAAUAAUAUUGAGAGAAUAUGUUAGAGAUUGAAAUAAAGAGUUCUUGUAUAUUUUCAUGUGAAGUAACCGAAAUGACCAACCCUUACAAAGUAAUAGGGAUCCCCUUCGUAUAGGAGGGAAAUCCCAUAAUAGUACAAUAAGCAUUAAUGAUAAAGAAAUCGGGAUGGGACAACUGGCUAACUUUAUGAUGCAGGCUCAGACUAGCUUUAGACUAGCCUGACAGAUUUUGUCGGCCCUGGCUGCACUCUUUGGGAACUCCCCAUACCCGUUGGGGUCAUGGCCAUCAUUACCCCUAGGUCGGGUGUCGAUAGACCUCGAGGGAGGGUACUCGAUCCAUGGUCUCGAGCCUUCGAGGUGAUCUUCUGAGAUGCCUUAUCAACGAGAAAUUGAUUCCUACGAUUUUGCCGUGUACAGAUAGUCCCCACAUUUCUUAGAAAGGAGCGACAAGAAACGAUUUUGUCAUCCGACUCUUCGGACUUCCCGUGAUGACGUCAUACUAAUGACGCAAUCCCCCAUGAUUGCUGAAACGUUCUGUCGUUUCGAUUCUCCAGGAUCAUUCAACGUAUUGCGGUUUCUCAUUCUCUAAAACUAUAAUAUCGUCGUCGAUUCAGCUUCCAGGGACGCAUUAAAUGCGCCUGUCAUUAUGUUUUUCGAGGUUAAUAAUGGCGCCGUCGGUUACAUUGCCCCCUUUCUAUAAAUGGGGGCCUCCUAGGAUCAGCCUUUUAUCCAAGUAUCUUCCCGUACCUAUCCAUUCUUCCUUUCUCGCUAUUUUUAUUCUGUGUCGUUCACCAUGUUUGAGGCACAUGACCUUAAGAUUGCAUGGCGGGCGGUACUUCUAUCAGGCAUGUCAUUGCCUAUCUCCUAGCCCUUCUCUGGUCGAGUGAGAUUAUGCUAUUUUUUUUUUGUUGUUGUUGGCUCGGGACGACGAAGCAGAGGCCGAUUUCCUCUGACCCGAGGAAGUAUUUGGAUUAUACACCGCUGCUCAAGAGGGGGCUCAGACUAUACACCGCUGCUCACCUCCCCUGAUUACCCGGUGCGGCGCCUUACUCCCUUUGCUUUCCUGGAGUGAAGUGGUACUAUCUACUAACUGUUGCAUCCCGCACCGGGGCAACGUCUCAAGAAAUGGAUUUACAAUAAUAGCCUGGCAAAAUCCAUACUAGCUAGAUUUUUCACCCAGCCACUUCUUCGUUCAUUCCUGCCUCUUCCACGUCACUUUGCUCUUCUCCAUCGCUUUCCUCUUUGUCGUCCCCCCUUUUGAAGAUGCCAUUCUGGGGAAUCGAGAUAACACUCCCGAGGGGAUUGUACUUGGAAGAUAUUGUCUUUGAGGAUGCAUGCCUGAGGAGAUGAUGCCCGAAAAUGUUGCUGCCAAGGACGCACCUUUGAGAAUAGGCUAGGCUCUUAGGCGUUUACUAUAUGUACACCUUCCUGCUUCUUUGUUUCUGUGUAAGGAAGCCUAUCGGGCUUUUGUAAUCAUAUGUAAGGACCCCUAGUGGGCUUUUGUAAUUGAAUAUUCAUGAAUACAGAGAUAUUUCCCCAAUUUUUAUCUUUAACACUUGCUAUAUUCUUUUACAUUUGUGUUGAUUCCGCAUGCACGACUUUGUCUGUUGUUGCUAGUACCGAACCUGGGUGCGCGUAUUCCUUCUGGCCUUUAGUUGAUAAAAACGGCUUCCCGUGGGAUCUUUUUUCAUUCCUCGGGCCUAACCUAGAUUGAUCUGAUAAAAUCGGGUCCUCCGGAUCUGUACUUUGAGUCGGAUGGAAGUAAGGCUUCGAACCCCUAAAUUGAGACUUAGCCUUUAGACCUUCGAGAGCAGUCCCCGAGUGAAAGUUGACUCGGGGCAUUUGGUGAUUUGUCUUGAACUUAAUGUAUGCAAUCUUAAGGCAUUGUAGACAGGUCCCGUAUGAGGGACUGCCCGAUUUAGGAUGAUAUCUGCAAUGCUGUUUUAAGGCUUCUUGGAGCCUAACUUAUUUUUCGAAGGAGGUCCUUGAGAUCAGGAACUACCUCGGGAUUUAUGAUGAUGCCAAUGGCUCUCUGGGGCCUAAAUUUUUUUGGAUGGAAUCCUCGAGGUCAGAUAUUUCCUCGGGGCUGGCGAUGAUGUCGUUGGCCUUUUAAAGCGUAGCUUCUUUUUGAUGGAGGUCCUCAAGGUUAGGUACCACCUCAGGACUGGCAAAGGCAUCAUUGGUCAGUGUUCUUACCCGGCUUUGAGGCAGGCGAAUCAUCGCCGUUUUUUCCAUAUAUAAAUAGGGUUGUUUCUGCUUUUUCAAGGGUUCCACCAUUUUUAGCAGUUGCCCUGCUAUUUUUGUGCCAGCCUUUCGGAACUUCAGCACUAACGCACUUGCACAUAUUCCUGCUUUUUAGUUCUCUAAUUUCGUCACCGCCAUGGACGCUAUAUCGGGGUCUGUCCGACAGAGAGGGGAGAGCUCCACCUCCGGCCUUCAGGACCAACGAGAGUAUGCCUUGAAGACUACCUCAUUGAUAGGAGAAGAGCAUCUUGAGUUAGAAACCCAGGGUCGCAUACACCGAGUGACCGUGCUUCGAUCGGAGUGGGCUCUUUCAGGGCCGAAGGGACUGGACUGGCAGGUGUGUGCUCAACCUUCGAGAAAGCCCAGUGGCUUCACUUUGUGGUGAGUUUUGGCACAAGUUUUUCGAGCUUUGCGCCUUCCCUUCCUUAUUGAGUUUUCUUUUGUAGGCAUUCGACAAGUUUAAGUUCGUGCUGCUUCGUUGUGAAGCCAGGAUAUAGAAAGCUCUGGAUGAGGAGAGAUCCCUUAGGCUCCUUUGUGAUAAAAAAGAAGUCAUGUUGGUACAUUUGCAGUAUGAGGUGGGCCAGAGCUUGAAUUACGAGAACCACCUGAAGGAGCAGGUAGUUUUUUGUUCCGGGUGAGUGUGUAUUCUGCCUCCUGGUUCCUAGGGCUAAUACUUAGUUUAUUUCAGUUGCAGAAAAUGGCGGAGGCCCUAGAGCGCCUUUGAGAUGAAGUUGGCAGAGCCAGGCAUGAGCAUGAUGAAUUGAAAGCUCGGGCGGAGGCUCAGGCUUUAGAGGGGAAGGAUACUCUGGCCAAAGUUCCUGCUUUCAAAGCUCAACUUCGCCUAGCCCGUGACAAUGCUUUGGUUCAGAUAGAAAUGGUUGCAAAGCUCGAGUUCGAGCUUUCGAAAGCCGGGGCUGAGAUCAUUGAUGCUCAAGCAGAAGCUGCAGUGAGCUGGACUAAGGCUGACCAGGAGAUGGCGAUCUAUUCAAAGGAUGUUGCCGAUGCUCAAGCUGAACUUAGAAGGAUCCUCGACCGCGAAGGGAGGGUUGAAGAAUAUGCUCAUUACAAGUCUCGAAAAAAGACCCUCGAGGAGAUCUGCGAUAGGGGUUUCGCCCUCUUAGAAGAAAUGGCGCUAGCAAGGGAUGACAAGCGUGAUGCUCGGUUGUGUUUGCCGGAUGUCGAGGAAAGCAAGGAUGAGACCGAUAGGUCAUAACCCCCGGGGGGAGGAAUAAAUUUUGUCAUCUGUAUGUAGCAUUUUCAAAGCAUGUUUGUAGCUAGAGGUUGCGUUUUUUUGCAUAUAUGUAUGAAAGAGAACCUUGCGGCUUUAUUUCUUUCGUAUCUUUUUCUGUUUUGAUUUUGACCAGGCAAGCUGGUUUUUGCGUUGGUAGGAAACCUCAGAGUAGUGAUGUGGCCCCAGGGAUCAUUAGACUAACCCGAAGGCUCUUACGUACUUUUGCUCUCAGACAUAUUUAGGCCACCUGUUUUGGGCUCAGUCCCCAAGUCGGGCAUCGACUCGAGCUUAUUUGACCUUUGAAUGGCUGAAAUUUAGGCUGGCGAUAGUGGCUCUUACGCUUUUGGUCGAUGCGACCUUUUGUAUGUAUGGCCUUGGGGCUCAUUAGGCUGGCAACAAUGGCUCUUACUCUUUGCUCUUAGGCAUGUGUAGUUAACUGUUUCGUGUUUAGUCUCCGGGUCGGGUUUCGACUCGAGCCCAAUCGACCCUCAAGUUUUUGAAUUUGCGUGGGCUGGCGAUAGUGGCUCUUACGCCUUGGGUCGAAGUGACCUUUUAUGUGUGCGACUCUGAGGCUCAUUAAGCUGGUGAUAAUGGCUCUUACGCUUUGCCCUUAGGCAUGUAUAUUUAACUAUUUUGGGUUUAUUCUCCGGAUUGGGUUACGACUCGAGCUCAUUUUGACCCUCAAGUUUUCAAAUUUCAAGCUGAUGAUAGUGGCUCUUACGCUUUUGGUCGAUGCGACCUUUUGUGUGUGUGGCCCUGAGGCUCAUUAGGCUAGCGACAAUGGCUCUUACGCGCUUGGUCAAUGUGACCAUUUAUGUAGGACUUAUUUUUCCUCUCGUUAAGGGGGUUUGAAGUAAUUUUUGUCUGACCCAUUGUCGGUCGGGAAAAACCUCGAUUUUGGGUAACUUGCGGCGAUGUUCGAGCAUUUCGGGAGGUUUGGCUCGGAGGCUGAGUAGCUCGAAGCCUGUGAUCAGGAGCUGACAUGGUCGAAGCUCAUUUUCCUAUGCUGAGGGUAGCCUGUUUAAUCAGUUCUUUCCAAAGUAGAUUCAGAAUAAUUUAAGGCCUGUAUGGGCUGGCGACAAUGGCUCUUAUGCCUUGUAGCGACGGUCGGCCAUCCCCGAGUUGCGUUAGUUCGGCUGGUACAAUCGUGUGACCGGAGUCACUUGUGUUUGGCCGGAGCCUUUGAUUGGGGUCUUACAGUUUUGUCACUUGGUACAAGUAUGGUUCAUGCCUUGCUUUAGGUCUUAUAGAUUUUACAUGUUGUUGAGGUCUUACAGAUAUAGUUUCUACCUUAUGUAGGUCCUAUGAGACCGAGUCUGCCCACUCGGGGUCUUAGGGCCUCGGGUUUUGAUAAGUCGAUGAAGGUGGCGCUUGACGGCAGUCCCCGAGUCGUCGAGGGUUUCUUGACUCGGGAGCCAUUGUUUGCAAACUUUGUAUUGCCUCGUCGAGGGCUUACGAUUUUGGAGAUCCCGACCCUGAGGUCGUGCAUUUUUUGAGACUUCGAUGCCAUCCCCGAGUAUUCAGGGUACUUUCAGCGUUGGAGAUGUUUUGAGAUUUUCAUGUUGCCUCAUUUGAGGGCUUAUGAUUUUGGAGUCCCGACCCGGAGGUUAUUCAAGUAUUGAAUCGUGGACGCCAGUCCCCAAGUAUUCGGGACAUUUUCGGUGGGGAAGUAGUUUUCGCGGAGGUGCCGAGCUUCUUUUGGAGUGCGAGACGCUUUGAUAAAAGAUAUUCUUUAAUUGUUUGAUACAAGUGUACAUGUUUUUGCUGAUAGGGGCCCGGCUAUACGGGCACGGUUCGUUCAACUGUUUGGCCCGGUACAUCAUUUUCCUAUAGGGACCCCAUUUGGCGUUUCUUGGCUUUUCCGAGCGGAUGGCCUUCGAGGUGGGAAUGCCCCUCAAUGCUCGAGGUUGAUAGCAAAAGAAGCCUCGGACACUUGUUGAGUUUCCCUUAGGUAGCAUGUAGAUGUUGCCGCGUUAAAAACCUUGCCGGUAAAACCCUUUUCAGGAUUAAAACUCGGUCGAAAGAAAAGAGUGCAACGAAUGCUUUAAAACCUUAAGGUCUUCGAGCUGGGUUGACGCUCUAACAGCUUCGAUCGGGUGCCUGCAUAAAGGUUAGUCUGAAAUAUGAGAUGAAAAUGGAUAUGGUUUUACCUUAGUGUGAGAUGCGUCGGCGAUAUUUUGAGGACUGAUAUGUUCUGAUCACUCAAGAUGAGGACGCGGUACGGUCCUUUAUUUCGUUUAAUUGGGCUUAAUAGAAGGUGUGGCUUGAUUACCCUUUGGCUCUUUUCCGAGCGGGGGUAGGGGUGUCGGUGCUACGUCGUGCACCACGAAUAUUUCCCUUGCCGCAUGUUGUUCCCCGUAGAUAGUUUUAAUCCCAUCAUUUGUUAGGAAUUUCAUCAUUUGGUGCAAAGUGGAUGGUACUGCCCUCAUAAGGUGUAUCCACGGCCGUCCGAAUGAGGCGUUAUACCUCAUGUCUCCUUCAAUAACAUGGAAUUUGGCGUUUUGGGUCGUGCCGGCCACGGUGGCUGAGAGGGUGAUUUCUCCUUUUGUUGUUUCACUUGCCAUGUUGAAUCCGUUGAGGACUCGAGUGGCGGGCAUGAUUUGGCCAAGCAGUCCGAGCUACUCUACCACCCUUGACCUGAUAAUGUUGGCCAAACUACCUGGAUCCACGAGUACAUGUUUUAUUUGGAAAGAAUUUACAAAGAAAGAGAUUACCAGUGCGUUGUUGUGAGGUUGAGACAAGGUCUCGGUGUCCUCUUCGCUGAAUGUGAGGGAAUCCUUGGGUAUAUACCCUUGAAUUUGCUUUUCUCUUGUGAUGGAUAUUUUUGUCCUUCUCAUCAUGGGUUCCUGCGGGGCAUCAACGCCUCCCAAGAUCAUGUGGAUGACGUGUUGUGGUUUGUUUGUUUCAUUCUUCUUGGCUGCCUCUCUUUCUCGAAACUGAUUUUUGGCCCGGUCGCUGAGGAAUUCCCGGAGGUGACCUUUGUUAAGUAGUCAAGCUACCUCCUCUCGGAGUUGAUGGCAAUCCUCGGUCUUGUGGUCGUGCGUGUUAUAAAACUCGUACACUAAGUUAUGUUUCCUUUGUGAAGGAUCCGAUUGUACAGGCCUGGGCCACCUGGCAUCUCCAAUUUUACUGAUGGCGAACACGAUGUCCGGUACAUCGACGUUGAAGUUUUAUUCUGACAAGUGAGGUGCCCCCGUUGGCCCUGCGUUCCUAUCAAAUCUGGCUAUAUUGAUGAGUCCAUGAGGAUCUUGUCCUCAGUCUAUCCUUCGAUCAUUGCGAGGUGGGCUGCACCUCAGGGCGUUCCUCCUGUCUUCAGCGUAUGGCUGAUAACUUUCUUUGUUUGGCUUUGGUUCCUUCGUCGGAAGCCUGCUUGGGUAUACUGAGCCCGAGGGGGCUCCCAACUGGUCAUAUUCGGCCCUGAUCUUCGACUGGUAUCGGUUGUGGACGUCCGACCAGGUCAUAGCAGGAUAUUCGAUCAAAUUCUGUUUCAACUAUUUUGAAGCCACCGAGCUUUAUUCAUUCAGACCUUGAAUGAAAGCCUGUACUGCCCAAUCGUCGGAGACUAGCGGUAGUUCCAUCCGUUCCAUUUGGAAGCAAGAUACGAAUUCUCGUAGCAUCUCGUUCUCCCUUUGCUUGAUUUUGAAGACAUCGGGUUUCCUUGUUGCUAUUUUGAUGGCACCGGCAUGUGCUUUUAUGAAGGAGUCUGCUAGCAUGGCAGAUGAGUCUAUGGAGUUAGGAUCUAGGUUAUGAUACCACAUCAUGACCCCCUUCGAGAGUGUUUCCUCGAACUUCUUUAGUAAUACAGAUUCGAUCUCGUCGUUCUUUAUGUCGUUGCCCUUCACUACGCAAGUGUAGGCAGUAACGUGUUCGUUGGGAUCUGAGGUCCCACUGAACUUUGGGAGUUCCGGCAUUUUGAACUUUUUUGGAAUGGGUUUCGGGGCCGCUUCCUCGGAGAACAGCAUUUGUAUGAACUUCUCCGAAUCCACACCUUUCAGGAUCGGGGGUGCGCCCGGAAUUUGGUCUACCCUGGAUUUGUAGGUUUCGACCUUUUUGUCAUUGGCUUCUAUCAUUUUAUCGCCCGAUUCAAUCCUUUUGGAGAGGUCCUCAAGCAUUUUUACGAUGAUAGGGUCGGCUAUCGACCCAUUAUUGCUCGAUCUCUCAGGUACCUGUUCGGCUGGGGGAGCUGUCCCCUGUGCUACUGUGCUAGGAGUUUUUUGGUGACUUUGCAACUGAGCAAUAGCUAGCUGUUGUGCCUGCAACAUUUCAAAAAUAACAUGAAGGCUAACCUCACGUUCUUCCCUAGUUGGGGUUUUUUGUGCUUCUUGUUGAUCCCCUUAGUGCACACUCUUGUCAGUGCGGGAGCUUAUGUCGAUGCGCUGAGCAUCGCGUGAGACCGCAUCCAUGGGGAUUGGCUCUGGUGCAUUCCCAAGGUUUUGUGGCGGCACAACAACACCUAGAAUAGCCACACUAUUUUCCACAUGGUCCUCAAGAUUGUUGUUUUCAUCUCCGUUUACCGAGUUAGACAUUUCGACCUGAAAUCGAAGAUCUUGGACAAGAAAAAGCAUGAAAGAUAACUUGCGUUAUGUAGUAAAACCAGCAAGAAAAUAAUCACUAUUAUUUUUAGCCCAACGGUGGGCGCCAAACUGUUUACCGUGAAAAUGGCAAUAACAAUUAAAUUUGUUGAUGGGACUCUAAAAAUACGUGAUCUAUUUUUAUGCUAGUUUGACAAGCAGUUGAGGCUAUAUAUGUGAGACUUAGAAAUGAAAUAAGAAUUAAGGAUAGGGUGAAAAUCAGACCGUUAGACCAAUAAUCGGGGCCUCGAGUUCGUCGAUUCUGGGCCUCGGGGUCGAUCCUGGGGCUCGAUUACGAGCUAGCAAAGAUAGUUGCUAUGUGACUAACGGCUAUAAUUAAAUCAAUGGAGGUCCUUCAUGGCCAAUGAUAAGCAAUAAAUGAAGAACAAGUAUGAAGACAAUAAAUGGAAGCAAUAAUAUUGAGAGAAUAUGUUAAAGAUUGAAAUAGAGAGUUCUUGUAUAUUUUCGUGUGAAGUAACUGAAGUGACCAACCCUUACAAAGUAAUAAGGAUCCCCUUCAUAUAGGAGGGAAAUCCCAUCAUAGUACAAUAAGCAUUAAUGAUAAAGAAAUCGGGAUGGGACAGCUGGCUAACUUCAUGAUGCAGGCUCAGACUAGCAUGACAGAUUUUGCCGGCCCUGGCUGCACUCUUCGGGAACUCCCCAUACCCGUUGGGUCACGACCAACGUUACCCCUAGGUCGGGUGUCGAUAGACCUCGAGGAAGGGUACUCGGUCCGUGGUCUCGAGCCUUCGAGGUGAUCUUCCGAGAUGCCAUAUCACCAAGAAAUUGGUUCCUCCGAUUUCGUCGUAUACAAAUUCAAUAAUAGAAUCAAUUAGAGGGUGAAGAUAUUACCUUUUUGAAGUUCAAUCCCCUUGAAUUCGAGUUCUAGGGUUCCUUCUUUCAACAACGAUGUCCCAAUCGAAUAUCUAAUGAUAUGGAGGGCUUAUCCAUGUUAAUAAGAUGUUGGAAAAUUGAAACUAACUUAGAAUCACCAUUAGGACUUACCUUGGGUGGUGGAGGGACCCUUAAGGGGUUAGGUUUUUGAGAGUUCAUCUUUCUAGAGCAAGUUUUUAUGUUUUGGGGUUGUGGGAGACGAAGUAGGGCUUUAAAAUCACCCCUCAUGAGCGCCCCCGCGCACCUGUAGGCCUGAUCGAACACCUGACCGCGCAAAAUGGCAGUAACACUGUUCUGUAAAAUACACAUAACUUUUUGCACAGAGAUCAGUUGAGGCUCCACAAUAUAUCGUUGGAAAGCUAUUUCAAAGGCUUAAAACUUUCAUCUUUUGAGUUUUCCAAAAUUCCUUACAUAUUUUCACUAACUUCUGCUAGAAGACGGACCUUUUGUAAACUUAGUCGAUUUUGUCGAAUUUUAUGCGCCUCACUCUCCAUCUUGAUUCCGAAACAACUAUUUUCACCAAUAAUCAUCCCUCUAGGACUUCAUAUGUCUAAAAUAUCAAAUUAAUACUCAUUUAACAUAUCCACACCUAGUCUGAAUGUAUGGGGUGUUACAAAAACAUUUUAAUAGAAUGCUAGAAGUAAUAUCAUUUUCAUUUGUCCAAAAAACUUCAUUCCUACUCUUUUCCUUUUUUAUUUUAAAAAAAAAGAAGUCAUAUGUGUACUUGAAGGGACAAUUUCGUUCAAGUACAAGUUACCUGCUAAAUUAAGCUCUAAUUCAUUUAUUAUUUUCCCUCUUACACAUUCUACCAAAUGACCCCUAAAAGAUGGACAGAACUUGCACUGGGAAAUCUAAGGAGUGCAAUUGCGCCUCUUUUUGGCAGUAAACAAUUGAAUUUGAAGUACAAAAAGUCGUAGGAGACUAAAAACUAUGAAAAGGAAGUUAGUGUACUCAUAUCCUGUACCGUAUUAGACAUUGAUUAAGGAAGGAGAAUUACUAUUUCUUUGAAAUUUCUAAAUUUAAAUGACAUAAUCAAGUGAUUUCAUUAAGAUAAUCUCGAACGACUAGUUUUCCAAUUUUUUAAUUUUAAUAAUAUCAUGUUCCUUAGAUAUGUUAUGAUUUUAUAAAAUUUUGAAAUUAUGAGAGAUGUAUAAUAUUUUCAAUAAAAACUUUGGGAUGAUCUGAAUCUCAUACUAUUUUUGUAGUCGUACAACUAAAUUUUAAAAUUAUUCAACGAUACAAAAUUCAAAAGGUAAACCUCAAGGGUGUAGACUACCAUCCAACAGAUAAUAAAUUGGGGGAAAAAUUAUGAGAGAUCUAAGGUUAGAAUUUUAUAGAAACAUAAAAUAUUAUGCAUUUUCGUCACAUCAACUUUGGACGAAAAUACUCAAUACUUUCCUGUGUAAGUUGGGUCAAACAAUACCAUCAUUAAAAAAAUACUAUUACUAAUUAAGAAAAACAAUGUCAAAAAUGAGAGGAAGGGAGUACAACUCAUGUUACUUUAAACAAGCAAAAUGACACUUUAUGUAAACAAGAUCCUCUACGUUUAAUGAGAGAUCUUAAAUUUGAGUCUUGCAAAUGAAGAAAUUUUAAAUUUUGGAAAUAAAAAAUGAUAGAAAAUAUUUUCCCCUUUAAUUGACUUUAUGGGCGUAUGUUAUCUGCUGAUGACAUAGUGUUGAUUGAUGAGAUGCGAGGCGGCGUCAACGAGAGGCUGGAGGUUUGGAGACAGACCCUUAAGUCUAAGGGUUUCAAGUUGAGCAGGACUAAGACGGAGUACCUAGAGUGCAAGUUCAGCGCUGAGCCGACGAAAGCGGGAUUGGACGCGAGGCUUGAUUCACAAGUCAUCCCCAAAAAGGGCAGUUUCAACUACCUUGGGUCGGUUAUUCAGGGGGAUGGGGAGAUCGACGAGGAUGUCACACACCGUAUAGGGGUUGGGUGGAUAAAGUGGAGGUUAGCAUCUAGAGUCCUGUGUGACAAGAAAGUGCCUCAGAUUCUCAAAGGUAAAUUUUAUAGAGCGGUGGUUAGACCGGCCAUGUUGUAUGGGGCUGAGUGCUGGCCAGUUAAAAACUCACAUAUCCACAAGAUGAAAGUAACUAAAAUGAGGAUGUUGAGGUGGAUGUGCUGGCACACCAAGAUGGAUAAGAUUAGGAAUGAAGUUAGUCGGGGGAAGGUGGGUGUCGCCCACAUGGAUGACAAGCGGCGGGAAGCAAGGCUCAGAUGGUUCGGACACGUCUAGAGGAGAAGCCCAGAUGUGCCUGUGAGGAGGUGUAAGUGGCUGGCUUUAGUGGGCAUGAGGAGAGGUAGAGGGCGGCCUAAGAAGUAUUGGGGAGAGGUGAUCAGGCAGGACAUGGUGAGGCUUCAAAUUACCGAGGACAUGGCCCUACACAGGAAGUUGUAGAGAUCGAGCAUUAAGGUUGUAGAUUAGGAGGUAGUUGGGAAUAUCUCUACGGUGCUGCAGAGUGAGGCUAGUCUGUUAGGACUUGGUCUUUGACUGUUAGUAAUUAAUGUUGAGUUCACACAACUUUUUCGUUCCUCUUAGUGAUGUGCUUUAUCUACUGGUUAUUGUUUUGGUUUUCACUUAUUUUCUGGUUCUGGUGAUGUUGUUCUUUGUUCUAUAGUUUCUAUUGAUGGUACUGAUAGAUUGCCUCUUUUCGCCUUCUUUUUGUCUUCUCGAGCCGAGCGUCUUUCAGAAACAGCCUCUCUACCCCCUCGGGGUAGGGAUAAGGUCUCCGUAUACACUACCCUCCCCAGACCCCAAUAGUAAAAUUUCACUAGGUUGUUGUUGUAAUUGACUUUAUGGGUGCAAAUUCAAACUAGUUGAUUUUAGACCUCAUUUGUUUUUAUUAAGAUUAAUAUGUUUGAAUCUGAAUAUAUAUCUGAAUAUUAAUAUGUAUAUUAAGAUUAAUACGUAUGAAUCUGAAUACACAUCUAAAUAUUAAGAUGCUGUAUUAAGAUCUGAAUACUAAAUAAUUAAGAUGGUUUAUUUUCUCUACAUCUGUAUGUGUAAAACUUGUCUUUAUUUUAAAAUUAAUAAGUAUAAAUUCAAAUUAAAUAGUACUAUUAAUAAAAUAUUUUUAAACAAUUAUAUGGUAGUUGGUGGUGAUGAUGGUUAACAAUGAUGGUCGUGGAUGCCAAGUGGGUUGUGGUUGGGGUUGAUGUUGGUUGAUAGACGUGAUUAUGGGUGGUAGAUGGUGGAUGAUAGUAAUAAUUAGGGGUGGUGGUGACUAAUAACAGUGAUGGAUAAUAUAUAGUGGUGGUUGUGGUGAUGGGUGAUUGUUGUGGUAAUGGUAGUUGGUGGUGAUGGUUGAAAACGAUGGUAGUGGUAGUGACAACUGAUAUUUGUGCUUGAGAGUAGUGGUAGUUAUGGCUGUGGAUGGUGGUAAUGGGUAGUGGAUAGUGGCAGAGGUGGAUGCAUGAUUUAAGCUCUAUAGGUUCAACCCUGAAGGUUUUUUGCUAUGAGCAUAUUAUAUAUUUUAAACUAUAGAUUCAAACCUACUACUUAUUAUAAUUUUAGUAAAUUUUUACACAUAAAUUUAUGAUUUGCCCCGAAAGUACUGGGUUCAGUUAAACAUGUUAUUGCCACUCUACAUCCGCCUCUGGAUAGUGGGUGAUGUCAGUCUAUAAUGAUAUGGGUUGGGGGGCACACUGUGGGGUCUGGGGAAGGUAGUGUGUACGCAGACCUUACCACUACUUUGUAAGGAUAGAGAGACUGUUUCCAAUAGAACCUCGGCUCAUGAAAGCAUAAACACCACAUUAAUGAAAAUAUAGACAAGAAGGGACAAUAUCAAAAAGCCAUAUAGAAGCAGAAUAAAAACAAUAAGAUAUUAAGGUGAUCAACAAUGAAAGAAAACAACAGUUAGUCAUAAAAACCUACUACCAACAGAAAGUGAGACUGCGUGCCAAUACUACUGUUAUGAAUACUCUAGACUACCUUGAAAUAUUAUUUUUAUAUAAAUUUUUAAAUGUAUAAUAUUUUAAUGAUAUUAAGACUCUGUUAUAGAUCUUAAUAAUUAUGAUCUAUUCAGACACAUUAAGUGGUUGUAAAAUUCAAAAAAUAAACAGAUUUAAUGGUUAAAAUCUGAAUGAUCAUGAUUCAGAUUUAAAAAACGAAUAUACUUAAUGACUGAAAUCUAAAUGAUUAAGAUUCAUACCUCCAUUAAGUGCAAACAAAUGAGGCCUUAAUGAGUUUUGACAUGGUAUAAUUUUAAAAAAAGUUGUUGACAUGGGUGUUUCUACUAUUAUUCAAAAAUAAGAGGAGCUUUACGCAGUAUCAAAAUGUAAAUACCUUAUGGCACACCUCAUUUUUCUACCCCAAAAAUGGUAUAAGGGUGUUUUUUCUAAUUUAAGUGACAAUCAAAACGGGAUUAUUUAGUUAUUGUUCAGAGUCACCACUUGGGAUAAUUUAUGGUGUCCCAAGUCACCGAUUUUAUAUCCCGAAUCGAGGAAAUAUUGACUCUGGUUUACAAUCCGCGAACACAGAAAUCCGGGUAAGGAAUUCUGUUAACCCGAGAGAAGGUGUUAGGCAUUUUCGGGUUCCGUGAUUUUAGUACGGUCGCUCAACUAUUAUUAUUGGCCGGUUUAUCUGAUUUUAAAACACUUUGGAACCUAUGUGCAUUUUACUCUUUUUAAACCGCUUUUAAUAAUUCAACUGCUAUAUAACUAAUUAUUUGAUUAAACAUUGCGAAUCAUGUCACGGGAACCGUAUCCAUGAUCUACAAUAUAUUUAUUUACUUAACAAGAUUAAAUUGUGGCCGGGUCACAUGAAUGUACCCCCGAAUUUUAGAAUUAUGUAUCACAACUACGUCACGAGAACCAUACCCGUAGUUAUGAUGAUUUACUAUUAAUCGAGGCUAAAGCAAUCUACGAUUGUUCAUGAGUUAUGUUCUAAACUAAUUUAAAAUUAUUGUGAGGCAUGAUUAUGGAGUAGUUGUGAAAAAGUGUAAUAAAUUAGUUAUGAAAAUGUGAUCUAGUUUUAUCUUAUUGAAUUGGGCCUGACGAAAAAUAUUCAUUUGGCCCAUACGAGUAUUCAAGAAUCGGGCAAGAUUAUUGAUUCCAAACAAUGUUAGAUCUAGGAAAAAAAUAAUUUGAUAGCUCAAACAUUUAAAAAAUUGUCAUUCUUAACUAAUUAACGAAGAAAAGCCAUGGAUCAAUUGCCUACUAGACCAACUACUCUAAAGUUUAAAAUCAGAACCCAAACAAAAAUGCAACUUAACAAAAUCUCAAUAUUUAUCAACACUGUUUCAAACUAAACGAGCAAAUUAAUCAUAAAUGAAUAGAUAAGAGUCAACGACUAAAAUGUUAAACAUUAACGCAAGAAAUGACUAAAUCAUGAUUUAUCUAUGUCGAGCAAAAAGUAUAGAGCAUAAAAAUAAUUUCAAACAAAUUAUAUAGCACCAAGAAAAGAAACAGACCUCAAAACAAAGCAAUUUUUGAAUCUAAAAAUGCUUAACACUGGAAACCUUAGACAGUGACAACCUCGGCAGAACCGCAAAUCUGCCCGGAAACCUCAGAUUACGACCUUCGACGAACUCGGAACUCACCGGAAAAUUCGAAUUAAACCAAAACUCGCUGGAAAAUAACUGUGGUUAUACUACGAUACAGCUGGUUUGGAGCUGCGUUUCCCUGGUGUUUGACGGAGGAUUUGCGUGAGAAGGUGUGGCUUGCGGGGUUUUGAAGAUGAAAUGGAUAUGGUUUUCCCAAAUGGCAAAAGCAAGAGAAGCUCUUAAAUUAACAUGGUAAAUCUGGAGGAUGAACUCAAAUUGAUAAGCUUUGUUUGUUUUCCUACCCGUGUUCUCUCGUGUCCCCCUCUUCAGAUCUAUCCCUCCCUCUGUUUUUGUGUGUUUGGAAUUGAGGAAAACUAGACCUUGAAGGUCUUUUAUUUGGGGAAAUUUGGGAGACGGUAGUGGGCUUUAAUUAUCCUAAAGGGUCUGUUGUUAGGUUGUUAGGUUGCUAGGUUGGUGGGAUGUUGCCGUUCCAUUUUUUGGGUUCGGGAUUUUUUAGGUCUUAGACAUUUUUUAGGUGGUAUUUUCGCUUAUAGUCUUAAGAAGAACAACGGAUUUCAGCUAAGGAUCUCU